CAGUGCACACUGGACCUGCUGUUCCAGCUAGAAAUCCUGAUAUCAUGGACUGCCAUGGUUGGAGGACUUUCCCAUCACCUUCAUGUUUCUUCCACAAUAAUACAUCAAAAGCAUUUUUUGCAGUAAACAUGGCUGCCUGGUUUGUCCCAUUGCGCAUAACAGUUGGAGCAGCGCCUGCCCAGAGCCCAAGCAAGCCUUCUUCACGGACGAUCAUACGAGCACAGUGUAUGGGACCCUUGUACUUCAGGAGCUCAGGACUCAACCCUUUUUGUUGCUGUAGUCUAAUUUUCACCACCUCAAAAGGCGUAACAAUAGCAAGAGCCUCAAGAACCCCAGCACCAAAUCCAGCGAGAAUUCUUCCUCGAUUGCUUAGCUUGCCGGUCUCAGAGUCCUUAAACGCCGUCUGCAGUACCGCAUUUGAUCCCAUGCGCAGCGCAUAUUUCAAAGUCAAGUGGGUGGCGAACGGAGUCAACCCCUUCCACAAAGCCCGCACGCCUUCAGUUCGCGAGACCGUCGCCCCACAGUGGAUAAUUCCCUUGUAGGUGCCAGUCCUAUCGAGCUGCAACCUGGUCUUAAUAACAUCAAUCGGCUGCAAGCAAGUAGCCUCUACGAUGCCGCCAAGCGACCCCGACACCGCCUUCAUGUACGGCGGGAUCGCUGCUUUCUUCGCCGGUGAGUUGGAUUGCUGCUCGAUUGAUUCCUUCAUGAUGAAUCUUUUGCGACUGUUUGAAUGAAACUGGGGAUUCAGAGAAAAAGAAGAAAAAGAAGAAGAAGAGAAGUUGGCGAGCUCCUCUUCUUCUUCUUUUGGUUGUAUAAUUAGGAUCGCGGAGUGCAGUGAUGGUGGUAUUAGCUGCUUGUUCCGCAGCCCGCAGCCCGCAGCCCCUGUGGCGUGACCGUGAGAGGCAGCAAAUUUUAAAAAGAUUUUUU
Molecule: unclassified non-coding RNA, 927 nt
Filed under: Hevea brasiliensis (rubber tree)
Lineage: Eukaryota; Viridiplantae; Streptophyta; Magnoliopsida; Malpighiales; Euphorbiaceae
Source: RNAcentral